RNAcentral lists this non-coding RNA (20 nucleotides) under Mus musculus (house mouse). The record is from RNAcentral. Lineage: Eukaryota; Metazoa; Chordata; Mammalia; Rodentia; Muridae.
UGACUGGUGUGAGGUAGAAU